This 253-nucleotide ribosomal RNA is filed under the name uncultured Arenicella sp. RNAcentral describes it as "partial 16S ribosomal RNA". It matches the Rfam family "Bacterial small subunit ribosomal RNA", at positions 524 to 776 of the family's 1533-position model. Lineage: Bacteria; Pseudomonadati; Pseudomonadota; Gammaproteobacteria; Arenicellales; Arenicellaceae. The record is from RNAcentral.
UACAGAGGGUGCAAGCGUUAAUCGGAAUGACUGGGCGUAAAGGGUGCGUAGGUGGUGUUUUAAGUUAGAUGUGAAAUCCCUGGGCUUAACCUAGGAACUGCAUUUAAUACUGGGACACUAGAGUAUGGGAGAGGUAAGUGGAAUUUCCGGUGUAGCGGUGAAAUGCGUAGAUAUCGGAAGGAACACCAGUGGCGAAGGCGGCUUACUGGCCUAAUACUGACACUGAGGCACGAAAGCGUGGGGAGCAAACAGG